Molecule: long non-coding RNA, 1000 nt
Filed under: Bos indicus x Bos taurus (hybrid cattle)
Lineage: Eukaryota; Metazoa; Chordata; Mammalia; Artiodactyla; Bovidae
Description: lncRNA (ENSBIXG00000006771.1)
Source: RNAcentral
UCUCAUUCUGCUGCCACCCGGAGUCCCAUUCACUGGUUUGUUUAACCUCAAAGUGGGAAAGUAACUAACACAAAUACAUUCAUUGUCCAUGCUCUAAUAGAAUUAAGAUUCCCAAUACCCUGCCUGCAUUUGAAUGAGGUUCGUUACACACUAGCUUUUAUGGUCACACCCUUUUCCCUUGAUGGUUCUUAAGAACGGCAGAAGCGGGAGACCAGAAAUUUUGUAAGCUCAUAAAUAUGAAGCACACUGUGUUUAAAUAAUGCCAGGGUGGUGAUACAAAUGGACUGAUGCCAGGAAGCUCAAAGUUAAAGCUAACAAUUCAUCCUUACACCACUAUGAAUAAGAAGGAAGGAGAAAGGGGCACUGUGCUUGUUGAGUUGUGCUGCCAGCUCUGGGACAGCUCUGUCUAAUGGGCCAGCAAGGCACAGAGCUUUGAAUUGCACACUGUUUACUCAGAAGACAGGAAAUGGAGCCAUUCUCCAGGAGGGCCAGCCCGAUAUUGGGUGAUUACAUAAUGUUGUUGAUUUCACACUGCACAUCACCGACUUGAGUGAUUGGAAUAAACCCGUAUCUAGGAUCCUGCCAUUCCCUGGCAGAGACCAGUACAGGGCAUGGGAAAUGGAAGCAGGCUCUUUGCGACCGGUGGGCAGGACCAGUACAGGUCCCUUUUAGGUGUUAGUUUUGGUGGCUCAGACGAUAAAGCAUCUGCCUGCAAUGCGGGAGUCGCAGGCUCCAUACCUGGGUCAGAGAGAUCCCCUGGAGAAGGAAAUGGCAACUCACUCCAGUACUCUUGCCUGGAAAAUCCCAUGGAUGGAGGAGCCUGGCAGGCUACAGUCUAUGGGGUCACGAAGAGUCCGACACGACUAAGCAACUUCACUUUCACUUUCUUUCCUCUCUAGUUCAGGGGUCCCCAGCCCCUGGGAUCUAAUGCCUGGUGAUCUAAGGUGGAGCUGAUGUAUCAGUAAUAAUAGAACCAAAGUGCACAAUAAAUGGAACGUGG